Molecule: ribosomal RNA, 449 nt
Filed under: Toxares deltiger
Lineage: Eukaryota; Metazoa; Arthropoda; Insecta; Hymenoptera; Braconidae
Description: partial 16S ribosomal RNA
Source: RNAcentral
CUGCCCAAUGAAUAUUUAAAUGGCUGCAGUAUAAAUAACUGUACAAAGGUAGCAUAAUAAUUAGUUUUUUAAUUAAAAACUAGAAUGAAAGAUUUCAUGAAAUAUAAACUUUAUAAAAAAAAAAAUAAUUUAAAUUAAAAUUUAAGUUAAAAUUCUUAAAUAAAAUUAAAAGACGAGAAGACCCUUUAGAAUUUUAUAUAAAUUAAAAUUAAAAAUAAAUUAAUAAAUUUAAAAAUUUUAAAAUAUAUUUAAUUGGGGUAAUUUUAAAAUUUAAUAAACUUUUAAAUAAAAUAACAUAAAUUAAUGAACUAAAAAUCCUAAAAUUUAGAUUUUUAAAAUAAAUUACCUUAGGGAUAACAGCAUAAUUUUUUUUGAAAGUUCACAUUAAUAAAAAAGAUUAUGACCUCGAUGUUGAAUUAAGAUUAAAUUAAAAGCAAAAAUUUAAUAAU